Molecule: RNase P RNA, 338 nt
Filed under: bovine gut metagenome
Also listed under: 1 other name
Description: Bacterial RNase P class B
Rfam family: Bacterial RNase P class B
About the family: Ribonuclease P (RNase P) is a ubiquitous endoribonuclease, found in archaea, bacteria and eukarya as well as chloroplasts and mitochondria.
Source: RNAcentral
UUGGCAAACGCUGUAUUUUAUAAUAUAGAGGAAAGUCCAUGCUCACAAUAACUGUGAUGUUAUUAAUGUUCGUGUUAAGGGAAAAAAUAACCUUAAGUAGUUUUAAAAAAAACUAACGGCUAUGAAAUAACCUAAGUAAUUAAUAUGGUUAAAGUAAUUAUAAAAGUGCUAUAGUGAUGAAUAAUCUGGAAACGGAUGAAGUGGAACAUAGUAAACCCCACGAGUGAGAAACCCAAAAUAUGGUAGGGGAGUUUAAGAAAAGAAAUUAAGAACUUAACUUAAAAUCGUAAGAUAGAUAAAUGUUUGCCACCUUUUAUGGUACAGAACAUGGCUUAUAA